GACGAACGCUGGCGGCGUGCCUAAUACAUGCAAGUAGAACGCUGAAGGAGGAGCUUGCUUCUCUGGAUGAGUUGCGAACGGGUGAGUAACGCGUAGGUAACCUGCCUGGUAGCGGGGGAUAACUAUUGGAAACGAUAGCUAAUACCGCAUAAUAGUAGAUGUUGCAUGACAUUUGCUUAAAAGGUGCAAUUGCAUCACUACCAGAUGGACCUGCGUUGUAUUAGCUAGUUGGUGAGGUAACGGCUCACCAAGGCAACGAUACAUAGCCGACCUGAGAGGGGGAUAGGCCCCACGGGAACUGAGACACGGCCCAGACUCCUACGGGAGGCAGCAGUAGGGAAUCUUCGGCAAUGGGCGGAAGCCUGACCGAGCAACGCCGCGGGAGUGAAGAAGGUUUUCGGAUCGUAAAGCUCUGUUUUAAGGGAAGAACGAAUGUGGAAGUGGAAAUUUAACCCUGGAAGGGUAUUUAACCAAAAAGGACGGGUAAACUACGG
RNAcentral lists this ribosomal RNA (494 nucleotides) under uncultured bacterium. RNAcentral's name for it is "partial 16S ribosomal RNA". It matches the Rfam family "Bacterial small subunit ribosomal RNA", at positions 28 to 506 of the family's 1533-position model. The record is from RNAcentral.